AUGAAAUCCGAACAAAAGCACAAACAAGCAGCACCGAGGGCAGGCGGCAACAGAAGCUCUCAGUGUCUCACUUGGCCGAAACCAUUAGUUGCCAGCUGCCGGCUUGAAGUCGAUUAUGAGGACUUUCUCCGUCGAACCCAAGAAAUCAGUUGCAAACUCGACGUGUGCUGGGUGGUAAACGUACUCCUUGACUCCCUCUGUGCUUUCAAAGGUGGACUCGAAGACGUGUGUGAACCCCUGAUGCAUGUUCUCAAUGCUCACAUCGGUUCCCCUGCAUACCAAAGAAAGAAGAGAAAAUUGAAGCUUAAACUAUGCAAUCACAUGGCUUCCAAGCCAGCGGCCGCACAGGGAAGAAUCGCAGCCGAGGCAGGCAAUUCGUCGAAUACCUACCGGGCGCAACCCGAGCAGCUACAGCGAUGGCUCACCAGAAAGGCGGCAGCGGCAGGAGGUGCGAGAAUCGACAGAGGGGUUGGUGGCGGUGAGAUCAGCUGCCGUACCAGUGGAAGGCCUUCAUGGAGGGGACCUUGUCGACGAGGCCGGCGUAGCCGCGGAUGA
RNAcentral lists this ribosomal RNA (555 nucleotides) under Triticum aestivum (bread wheat). Its description in RNAcentral is "partial small subunit ribosomal RNA". Lineage: Eukaryota; Viridiplantae; Streptophyta; Magnoliopsida; Poales; Poaceae. The record is from RNAcentral.